UGAGUGAGAAGGGUUUCGGCUCGUAAAGCUCUGUUGUUAAAGAAGAACACGUAUGAGAGUAACUGUUCAUACGUUGACGGUAUUUAACCAGAAAGUCACGGCUAACUACGUGCCAGCAGCCGCGGUAAUACGUAGGUGGCAAGCGUUAUCCGGAUUUAUUGGGCGUAAAGAGAGUGCAGGCGGUUUUCUAAGUCUGAUGUGAAAGCCUUCGGCUUAACCGGAGAAGUGCAUCGGAAACUGGAUAACUUGAGUGCAGAAGAGGGUAGUGGAACUCCAUGUGUAGCGGUG
This 288-nucleotide ribosomal RNA is filed under the name uncultured Lactobacillus sp. Its description in RNAcentral is "partial 16S ribosomal RNA". It matches the Rfam family "Bacterial small subunit ribosomal RNA", at positions 401 to 683 of the family's 1533-position model. Lineage: Bacteria; Bacillati; Bacillota; Bacilli; Lactobacillales; Lactobacillaceae. The record is from RNAcentral.